Molecule: ribosomal RNA, 492 nt
Filed under: uncultured bacterium
Lineage: Bacteria
Description: partial 16S ribosomal RNA
Rfam family: Bacterial small subunit ribosomal RNA
Source: RNAcentral
AGUGAACGCUGGCGGUAGGCCUAACACAUGCCAGUCGAACGGCAGCACAGUAAGAGCUUGCUCUUACGGGUGGCGAGUGGCGGACGGGUGAGGAAUACAUCGGAAUCUACUUUUUCGUGGGGGAUAACGUAGGGAAACUUACGCUAAUACCGCAUACGACCUACGGGUGAAAGCAGGGGAUCUUCGGACCUUGCGCGAUUGAAUGAGCCGAUGUCGGAUUAGCUAGUUGGCGGGGUAAAGGCCCACCAAGGCGACGAUCCGUAGCUGGUCUGAGAGGAUGAUCAGCCGCACUGGAACUGAGACACGGUCCAGACUCCUACGGGAGGCAGCAGUGGGGAAUAUUGGACAAUGGGCGCAAGCCUGAUCCAGCCAUACCGCGUGAGUGAAGAAGGCCUUCGGGUUGUAAAGCCCUUUUGUUGGGAAAGAAAAGCAGCAGGUUAAUACCCCGCUGUUCUGACGGUACCCAAAGAAUAAGCACCGGCUAACUUCGUG